GCUCGGACUAUUCAAAUUGCUGCCCCACCCUGUGUAAGAUCCUCCAAAAAUGACUACUUUUGAAGGAUUAAACACGCAUCCGGCAAUAUUUUUGAAGAGUCUGAGCAA
Solanum tuberosum (potato) is the source of this 108-nucleotide non-coding RNA. The record is from RefSeq and is marked provisional. NCBI's taxonomy places the organism in Eukaryota, Viridiplantae, Streptophyta, Magnoliopsida, Solanales, Solanaceae.